This 381-nucleotide transfer-messenger RNA is filed under the name Acidobacteriota bacterium. It matches the Rfam family "transfer-messenger RNA". From Rfam's summary of the family: Bacterial tmRNA, also known as 10Sa RNA or SsrA, is named for its dual tRNA and mRNA-like properties. Its role is to liberate the mRNA from a stalled ribosome. Lineage: Bacteria; Pseudomonadati; Acidobacteriota. The record is from RNAcentral.
GGGGGCGACAGGCUUCGACAGGGGCUUGUAUAGAUCUUUGGAUGCACGUCGGGCGUUCUUUUGGUAGCCCGUUAAAAAUGCUGAAAGGAAAACAAACGCUAACUCUAAUCAAGAAUUAGCUCUCGCUGCCUAACGUAAGUUAGCUACAGUGAUGUCCGCUGGCAAGUUCGCUUGAAGCGCGUCAAACGGGCAUAAAACAGUUCAAGCUAGUUCACGCGCACCACCUGCGUGCGUGAGCGAAAUGUUAGUCGGGUUAGUCUGUUGUGAGGUCUUGUCGAUUCACACACUCAUAACAGGCGAAACUUGAGUGAAACGACUAAACGUGUAGAGUUCACUGGUCGCAACCUUUGGAUGCGGGUUCGAUUCCCGCCGCCUCCACCA